UGUAAAGCUCUUUCAGUCGAGAAGAAAAGGCUGCAGUGAAUAACUGUAGUUUAUGACGGUAUCGACAGAAGAAGCACCGGCUAACUACGUGCCAGCAGCCGCGGUAAUACGUAGGGUGCGAGCGUUAAUCGGAAUUACUGGGCGUAAAGGGUGCGCAGGCGGUUUUGUAAGUCAGAUGUGAAAUCCCCGGGCUUAACCUGGGAAUUGCGUUUGAAACUACAAGACUAGAGUGUGGCAGAGGGAGGUGGAAUUCCAUGUGUAGCAGUGAAAUGCGUAGAGAUAUGGAAGAACAUCGAUGGCGAAGGCAGCCUCCUGGGUUAACACUGACGCUCAUGCACGAAAGCGUGGGGAGCAAACAGGAUUAGAUACCCUGGUAGUCCACGCCCUAAACGAUGUCAACUAGUUGUCGGGCCUUACUAGGCUUGGUAACGAAGCUAACGCGUGAAGUUGACCGCCUGGGGAGUACGGUCGCAAGAUUAAAACUCAAAGGAAUUGACGGG
RNAcentral lists this ribosomal RNA (500 nucleotides) under uncultured bacterium. RNAcentral's name for it is "bacterial SSU rRNA". It matches the Rfam family "Bacterial small subunit ribosomal RNA", at positions 424 to 917 of the family's 1533-position model. The record is from RNAcentral.